GUGAGGAAUAUUGGUCAAUGGGCGAGAGCCUGAACCAGCCAAGUCGCGUGAAGGAAGAAGGAUCUAUGGUUCGUAAACUUCUUUUGCAGGGGAAUAAAGUGCGGGACGUGUCCUGUUUUGUAUGUACCCUGAGAAUAAGGAUCGGCUAACUCCGUGCCAGCAGCCGCGGUAAUACGGAGGAUCCGAGCGUUAUCCGGAUUUAUUGGGUUUAAAGGGUGCGUAGGUGGUUUGAUAAGUCAGCGGUGAAAGUUUGCAGCUUAACUGUAAAAAUGCCGUUGAAACUGUCGGACUUGAGUGUAAAUGAGGUAGGCGGAAUGCGUGGUGUAGCGGUGAAAUGCAUAGAUAUCACGCAGAACUCCGAUUGCGAAGACAGCUUACUAAGCUACAACUGACACUGAAGCACGAAAGCGUGGGGAUCAAACAGGAUUAGAAACCCGAGUAGUCC
RNAcentral lists this ribosomal RNA (445 nucleotides) under uncultured bacterium. RNAcentral describes it as "partial 16S ribosomal RNA". It matches the Rfam family "Bacterial small subunit ribosomal RNA", at positions 354 to 796 of the family's 1533-position model. The record is from RNAcentral.